This is a small nucleolar RNA of Loxodonta africana (African savanna elephant), 77 nucleotides long. Ensembl annotates it as small nucleolar RNA SNORD112. The record is from Ensembl. Lineage: Eukaryota; Metazoa; Chordata; Mammalia; Proboscidea; Elephantidae.
UGGACCAAUGACAAGGGUGUGUUUAUGAACAAAGAAUCGUGAUUAAUUCAGUUCGGCACCAAAUCCUGUGGUCCAUU